Molecule: long non-coding RNA, 379 nt
Filed under: Capsicum annuum
Lineage: Eukaryota; Viridiplantae; Streptophyta; Magnoliopsida; Solanales; Solanaceae
Description: long non-coding RNA (CANN_LNC007625)
Source: RNAcentral
GGGCAACUAGCAAUUCCGCGAUGUAGUCGAGUGCUAUUAUAGCUGCUAAAAUCUUUUAUAUGAAAUGAUACUAUAAAAUUGUUCCAAUCAUCAUUACUAUCUAAAAUAGAGUUGUGUCAACCUAGCCUCCGGCAACAAAAAAACACAAAGAAAUAAAGGCUAAUCAAUCUAUUACAGGAUAUUGUAAAUCAAAAAUAAACUACGCUUUAUUUUUGCAAAUUCUUGAUACCCGUAUCUUCUCCCCCAACUGUUCUGCACCAAAUAAAAUUAUUCACCAUUUCUUUCACAACAUAUCCCACUAUCAACAUAGCAUGUGUUGGUGCUCUUAUAGUUGGUGCUAUUUCCCUUUAUAAGUAUGUUCUGUACCCGUUUAACUUCU